UACGGAGGGUGCAAGCGUUAUCCGGAUUCACUGGGUUUAAAGGGUGCGUAGGUGGGCAGGUAAGUCAGUGGUGAAAUCUCCGGGCUUAACCCGGAAACUGCCAUUGAUACUAUCAGUCUUGAAUUCGGUCGAGGUUGGCGGAAUGUGUCGUGUAGCGGUGAAAUGCUUAGAUAUGACACAGAACGCCGAUUGCGAAGGCAGCUAGCUAGACCGACAUUGACGCUGAGGCACGAAAGCGUGGGGAUCAAACAGG
RNAcentral lists this ribosomal RNA (253 nucleotides) under uncultured bacterium. RNAcentral describes it as "partial 16S ribosomal RNA". It matches the Rfam family "Bacterial small subunit ribosomal RNA", at positions 524 to 776 of the family's 1533-position model. The record is from RNAcentral.